Molecule: long non-coding RNA, 606 nt
Organism: Pongo pygmaeus (Bornean orangutan)
Lineage: Eukaryota; Metazoa; Chordata; Mammalia; Primates; Hominidae
Exons: 3
Source: RefSeq, a predicted model, not a curated record
GGGCAAUGGAAAGGAAUUUCUUGGGAAUUUCAUGACUCCACCGCCUCCCCCCCGGCCCCGCCCCACCCCACCCCAGCCUACCCCACCCUACCCUACAAGGCGCGACCCGGCUGAUCCCUGCCCUGCGGGAACCCGAUUUCUCGCCAGCGAACUGCUCUCAGAGGCUACCGAGCGUUCCCGCCUCGCCGCAGGAACCCUUCCAGCUCGCCCUCGGGCUCUGGGGACCGCUCCGCAGCGGGGCCUCCCGGAAUUCCCUGCCGAUCUCCGCGGGCACACUUGGCUGGCUGCUGCGGCCAAAACUACCUUCGCGUGGCAGGGUCCUCCCUCCUCCUCACAGACACCCCGACAUCACCCUCAAAACUGGAAGGGACAGCCCCGAGUGAUCUAGGCGAUGGUGGAUACCUGGAAGGCCACCCAUGGAAAAGCACUGUGCCUUCCAGAAGCCCCUGGUGGAGGAAGCACUGCUUCUGAGCCACAGAGACUGCUGAUCGAUGGACUAUUUUAUCACCGCUUCUAAACUAUGGCUCUAAACCUAACACAGAGGGUAAUGGUAGUGCUGUAUCCAUUCAUUCACUCAUUCACUCAAUAAAUAUUUGCUGAGCACCA